This 273-nucleotide long non-coding RNA is filed under the name Bos taurus (domestic cattle). RNAcentral describes it as "long non-coding RNA NONBTAT022082". The record is from RNAcentral. Lineage: Eukaryota; Metazoa; Chordata; Mammalia; Artiodactyla; Bovidae.
CUUAUGUCAGCUGCCUGAACCCUACAGGAUGCCUGGUUUGGGAUUAUGUGUGUGAAAAUGUCACAUAUCCCUGACCUAGUUCUCGCUUACAUUACAACUGUGGGUUUGCCUGCCACCCUUGAGUUGGCUAUAUAGUUUGUUUGUAGACUGGCUUGGGAUAUAUGCAAGGCUUUUUAGGAUCACCCAUCUGUGGAUUAUGUAUAAAUUUGAGUGAUGUCAGAAAACAGAGUGAUUAUAUGGUUAUUUAGUGAAGCCAUGCAGAGCAGACACAUU